RNAcentral lists this ribosomal RNA (473 nucleotides) under uncultured bacterium. RNAcentral describes it as "bacterial SSU rRNA". It matches the Rfam family "Bacterial small subunit ribosomal RNA", at positions 328 to 793 of the family's 1533-position model. The record is from RNAcentral.
CUCUGUGACUCCUACGGGAGGCAGCAGUCGGGGAAUAUUGCACAAUGGGCGCAAGCCUGAUGCAGCCAUGCCGCGUGUAUGAAGAAGGCCUUCGGGUUGUAAAGUACUUUCAGCAGUGAGGAAGGUUCAUGCGUUAAUAGCGUAUGGAUUUGACGUUAGCUGCAGAAGAAGCACCGGCUAACUCCGUGCCAGCAGCCGCGGUAAUACGGAGGGUGCGAGCGUUAAUCGGAAUUACUGGGCGUAAAGCGCAUGCAGGUGGUUUGUUAAGUCAGAUGUGAAAGCCCGGGGCUCAACCUCGGAAUUGCAUUUGAAACUGGCAGACUAGAGUACUGUAGAGGGGGUAGAAUUUCAGGUGUAGCGGUGAAAUGCGUAGAGAUCUGAAGGAAUACCGGUGGCGAAGGCGGCCCCCUGGACAGAUACUGACACUCAGAUGCGAAAGCGUGGGGAGCAAACAGGAUUAGAUACCCUGGUAG